RNAcentral lists this ribosomal RNA (253 nucleotides) under uncultured bacterium. RNAcentral describes it as "partial 16S ribosomal RNA". It matches the Rfam family "Bacterial small subunit ribosomal RNA", at positions 524 to 776 of the family's 1533-position model. The record is from RNAcentral.
UACGUAGGGUGCAAGCGUUAAUCGGAAUUACUGGGCGUAAAGCGUGCGCAGGCGGUUGUGCAAGACAGAUGUGAAAUCCCCGGGCUCAACCUGGGAACUGCAUUUGUGACUGCACGGCUAGAGUGCGGCAGAGGGAGAUGGAAUUCCGCGUGUAGCAGUGAAAUGCGUAGAUAUCGGAAGGAACAUCAGUGGCGAAAGCGACUUCCUGGACCAGUACCGACGUUCAGGCACGAAAGCGUGGGGAGCAAACAGG